GGUUCCAUAGUGUAGCAGUUAGCAUGUCUGCUUUAUACUCAGAAAGUCCUGGGUUCAUACCCCAGUGGAGCUA
This 73-nucleotide transfer RNA is filed under the name Pteropus alecto (black flying fox). It matches the Rfam family "tRNA". From Rfam's summary of the family: Transfer RNA (tRNA) molecules are approximately 80 nucleotides in length. Their secondary structure includes four short double-helical elements and three loops (D, anti-codon, and T loops). Lineage: Eukaryota; Metazoa; Chordata; Mammalia; Chiroptera; Pteropodidae. The record is from Rfam by way of RNAcentral.